Unclassified non-coding RNA from Rhipicephalus microplus (southern cattle tick), 4698 nucleotides. The record is from RefSeq and is a predicted model, not a curated record. Lineage: Eukaryota; Metazoa; Arthropoda; Arachnida; Ixodida; Ixodidae.
GGUCCCGCCUCCCGCUACUUGACAGCGUAGAAGCUCUCGUAACGUUAUUCGUAGACGACAGACGGGACAAAAGCUUAAUCGCCGGGUGAAACAAGAGACGUUCCGUGCGUCACAAGUACAUUUCCAUGUGCCGAACUUGAACAUCUGCACUCGCGGCUAAGACGCAUCGUAGGACAACGGACCAGGGUUCUUCAAGCAAACGGGUGGUUGGGCUGAGUCUCUACGUACGAUGUGCGACCAGCGGCGCCACGGCAAGCCGUCGACGCGACAGGGGUCUCCGGUUCGCCAGGCGCCGAUCGCACGGUCGAGUCUCUGCGCUUCGCGCAAAAUGCAAAGAAGAAGUGGGGAGUCACCAAAGACGCCACGCUGUACACAAGAGAGCCGCAUAGCAGCGAGUCCGUAAGCGGCAGUGAUCGAGAUUACGCACGGAUUAGCACAGCUUAGUGGGCGUCGCUGGAGAAGCAACGGUACUUUCGACAAGACCCGCGCCGACAGCGAGCAACACGGGGGGGACGGGACGGUUUUUUCGGAAAGCCAUCGCAACGUGUGCACCGCACUGCCAGCGUUUCGUCGGCAACGGAGACAGCACGAUCGAGAACCGAAGGUUACGAACAGGCUCCAUUGCGGCAGUAUGGUCAACGUCGUCCAAGGGGCACAGUUACUACACAAACAGCCUUCUAUCAAUGUACAGUUGGUGUGCAGGCCUUCACAUUGGUCGUGGGAAGAAAUGUUGGUGUGCAGGUAUGCAGCUUUAACCACACGGUGGGAACACAGACCGAGGUCCAGCCCGCAGCUAUGUGCACUGUGCAGAAUGCUGCUUCUUCUUCGGAUCCAAUGUGUGGCUGUGGCGCCCUUGAACCAUGCCACUGCAGCUCACUGACAAAGGGCUGCGAAUAGUAUAUUCACACAGACUCAUUACCAGGAUAUAUGGAUAACGUGACUAUAUGCUGAUACCUUGGUGCCAAGAUGUGCCUCCAUGAUGCCUCACAUCUCGGCCUAUUCUGCAGUGCUGCCUAUGACAAGAAGUGCUAUAUAGUCGUGCUCCGGCGGUCUGACCAGUCUAAAAGAUCCAUUUCUUCAAAUGCCACCAAACUAUGCAGUGGGCUCCAGGACAAGUAGGAAAGAAGUGUUAGCAGAACGCAGCUGCCAUCAUCGGUGCCUUUCAGUGAAGGGGCGAAAAUACAGUAGAACCUUGUUGAUACGUUUUCGAAAAAACGCGGAAAAUAUAUGUACGAUCUAGGAAAACGUACAAUCCAAAUCCAGUGAAAAAUGAAGCGACAUUGGUGAGGUACUCCUCAUCGAUGUCGUCGUUGAUGUCAGACGCGCACGCUACAGAGUCGUCUUAGCUGCGCUCUGUGUCCUCUCAUGCAAACUGCCGCCUUAAACCGCACUUCCUGAAACAGCUGCGCACUGCCAUUACGUUAACUCAGGAGGCCUGUGCUUGCUUCCAGCUCCCCAUGGCAGGCUCCACGGGUUUGCUUUGUUGCGCCGCCGAAUACCAAGGCAUUCGUCUCAAUCUCUUUUCGCUUCGACAUUCACGGUAUUUAAGUUUGUUCACUAUGUCAAUUCGCUUUCUCUUUGGGUUUCUUUCGACGACCGCAAGAAUAUUCAGCUUCUCCUUAAUUCAAGUACAUAGAUUUGUCUAGUCUUUGUACUUGCGGACAGCGAAUUACACUUGUGGCUUUGUUUAUUGCUGUGUUUUGGUGUGUGUUUUUUUUUUGAAGGGAAGAAUGAACCCUUUUGAACUUCGCAAGCCAAUUUGAAAUGGUAAGUCUAAAAGAUUAAAGUGGUGAAGCACAACUGCUGAACAUUUGCCGAUUGUUGUUUCAUGACAAGCAGCUUGAAGCCACGCAAAGCCAAAAGAAACGUAAUGUACGAAGGCUAGGCAAAUCCGUGUACUUCCAUGCUUGCUGAAGCGCCAUGCGUUGCAGCUCCCAUAGACACUAGCGCCAAAGUUCCCUCUAGUGUAUAUUUAGGAAAAUAUAUGGGGAAGGCACUGCUCUUUAUUCAGAGAGAACGCAUAACAGUGAUUACAGUAAAUUUCCAUUGUGCAGCGCUGUGCGACACGUCACGUGAAACCGAAACUGAUUGGAAGUCCAUGACUCCGAGAUUAGUAUAUUCAAUUUAGGAAAUUAAAUGCCUGAUACCACACCUCUGAUCUCAUGUACGUGAUUACUGAUUACAUUGCCAAAUGUCGGACCAGGAACCAUGACUCCUUUCUAAGUCCAUCUCACGACUUCAUACUUAUUGUUGUUCCACAGUGCCCUAUUUUUAAUUACAGCUGCAUUCCUGUUACCUGUAGUUGUGACAAAAUUUUCAUGCUUCCUCACGUAGUCAGCACCAUUGCUUAUCUAUACGCCAAGAUAUUUGUAUUUAUCCACUAUCUCCUGUGGGACCUCCUGUAUUUUAUACUCACUGCCUUUCUUAUAUGAUUGCUGAUUUUUCUCUGCUGAACUUCAAAUUUAACCUAUGUCCCUCGUUACCACAGGUGUCUCAAUCCCUGCAGGUCUUCAUCAUUUUCAGCCAUUAAUACUAUAUUAUCUGCACACAUUAAUGCUCGUAAUGACUGCUCAGCGUGAUUUUUUUUUUUUUUUUUUGCUUGGCAAAAGAGAACUUGAAGCAUAGGCCACUCCCCUCUAAUUUGGCUUCUAAUCCUUGUAGAAAACAGAGGUGAAGCCCUCGUACUUCUAUUGGCUCGGGUACUGUUCCUCCCAUUUUACAACUACCGUGCUACUUUUAUAGAUGCCCCCCAAAAAUUAAUUACUCAUCUUCCACAUGUAAGUGUCUCUAGAACGCCUCACAAGUCCUCUUGAAUCACUAUCAUAAGCCCCCUAAUGCCAGACACAAGGGCCUGUGUUCUUUUUCCACUAUUCCAAUGCAUUGCGUCAAUAAAAACAGAUUAUCCUCCUGCCUCCUUUGUUUACAGAACCUAUUUUGUAGUUGCCUGAUCACCCCCUCAUUUUCCACCCAUGCCUGUAGUCUUUCCUUUACUAUCUGCAUCAACAGCCUUUAAACCACUACAGAUGUCACUGUUAUAGGACGGUAGUUAAUUGUAUCAGCUCUGUCUCCCUUUCCUGUAUAGAUUAUGCUCACCCUGCUUAUUUUCCACCCAUCAGAGGCUUCACCAAUAAUCAUUGUUUUUUGCUUGCUGCCGCUCUUAUUGUUUGCUUAGAAUUUUGACCUAAUUUUUCUGUUUGCAUUAUUGGGAUGCCGCCAGGGCCUGUUGAUUUGUAGUAGGAACCCUCUUCUCUGCCCUUUCCUAUUCAUCCCAGUGAAGCCGCUGUGCUAAUUGUUCUAUCUUUGUCCGAUAUAUUACAUGCAGCGCUUCCUUGGUUGUUAGAUAUUUCUGUCCAUCAUUGUUCUUAUAUAUUUCAUUGCCUCGUCCCCUUCUAGCCUAACCCCUUGAACUGUAGUUAUAAACCUCUGUUCUAUGCUUGUCUUAUUACUCAGAGAACUGAGAUGGUUCCAGAGCUUUGCUGCUGCCUGUCUAUCCUUUUUCUUCUAAUCUUUUUGUUGAUAAGAUAGGAAGCUUCCCUUCUGCAGCUUAAAUAGUUCACAUUUUCUUGUGACAUCAUGUUCUGGUUCGCCCCUCUGUUUAGCAUGACUGUUCCCUGGAGGCUUCGUGACACCUUACUGUGACCCUCUUAAUCCUCUUCCCACCAGCUCUUGGGAUUUUGUCCCCUUUUCCCGGUGUAUUUGACUCGUACCUUAGCAAACUCAAACGUCCGCAUACCGUGGCGCCACUGAGGAGUGGCGGCCGGAAGCUCUGUUUAGAUGACCUUAGUUUUGGUCCUGUUUCAAACAGCAAAUGUUGCUGCUUUGUUGCAACGUUGUGAACGGCCUCGGUAUUAUCGUGUUCCCUUGAAUUUCUAGAGUUUAAAGGAAAAUAUAAAGAAAUAGCUGAUUGAUUUUACUGUGUGCCUCGAUGCUAAGGCUAUUUUACUUAAAACAUAUGCGCAUCUUGGGCUACUAAGUCGAUGUUGUCAUGAUCAGCCUCCCUGGCUUGGCCUUGCUUGGACACGUGAGCCAAGAGUGGCGACAACACAAAAGUCUUUCUUCGACCACUCCAGGGCCAUCGUCACCACCCAUAAAACCCUUUGAGCACGCCUGACUGACUGAUGAAUUGGGAAGAGCUGGUGGUCGUCGAGGCUGCUUGCUUUGUUCGUCAAGCUGUCCAGACAAUGAAUGAGCCAAGCGUGUGAGAUCAGUCUACGGGGACGUUUCCCACGUAAUUUGUGGUGCCUUCAUGGCGACGAUUUUCCACAAGCUGUGGCCUGCCUGGCACGCGCUCCUGAUCGCAACGAUAAGUCAACGCUGCACCUAAAUGCACAAGUUGACCUGUACGUAGGACCCGACGUUCUUGCUCUGUGCUGUGCCAUGCGCAUUGGUUAGUGCUUUCUCCCUUGCCACAAGACAAACUGGACGUGCCUCUUCCCUCUUUCUGGGUCGGGAGUGUUUCACCUUCCUCUUUUGGGGGCAGAGGUGAAGGUGAUAAUUUCAUUGGACUGUCCUGGCCUCAGUUGUUUUCCCUGCAGAGAAUCCUUGGAAGACCAGGGCAUAAUACAGGAGCGUCAAGACGCCCCAGACAAGCUUCCAGAGACUUUCGCCGAGAGCUUUCAUGAUGCUGCCAUCAAUCAUGUAAAACGCUACCUUAGAACCUGUAAAUAAUGUAAAUAAAUGUUCUUAUCAUCAGCCCCA